CUCAUCUCUAGAUUGAAGCUUUAAUUAUAGAAAACAAAAUAACACAGCAUCGAUAUUUGGAUAAGACUUCAGAAGACAAAAUUAAAUAAAAAAAAAGUAAUACACACAAAUCGUCGCUAAUUCCUUCGUUCGCCAAUGUUAAUGCAAAAAUUCAUGUGACUGUGAUCAAGUCGGCGAACGAUAGCGGACUUUAGACCGAGCAGUGCCGGCAUGCAGCAAAUUUAAAUAAAAUUAAGUUUUCCUAGUUACAAAUCUUUCGUGAAACCAAAUUAGCCUCGCACUGCUGCCCGCAACAGGUUCACAGAGACCGACUCUCUCGCACUCACUGCCGUUACCGCUACCUGCUCCGCCGCCACGACAACGAUAUUUUUCGGCUUGUUUAUAAGUUUUGCUCAUCAGUCCCACAAAUUCGUCUACUAUGGCAGUUGUUGAAAAUGUUCAGAAUACGCCCACAGAGCGCAAGGCGAAUCCGCUUAAAUCUUUUAUCACUGGAGGUUUUGGCGGCAUUUGCAAUGUUCUCUCCGGGCAUCCUCUUGACACUAUUAAGGUUCGUUUACAGACAAUGCCACGGCCAGCACCUGGGGAGCAGCCCUUGUAUCGCGGCACCUUCGAUUGCGCAGCCAAGACCAUACGGAAUGAAGGCGUUCGCGGUCUGUACAAGGGUAUGUCCGCACCACUGACGGGGGUGGCGCCCAUAUUCGCCAUGUGCUUUGCCGGCUAUGCACUGGGAAAGAGGCUGCAACAGCGCGGUGAGGAAGCUAAGCUCACGUAUCCGCAAAUCUUUGUUGCCGGCUCGUUCUCCGGCCUGUUCUCCACGUUCAUCAUGGCGCCCGGCGAGCGCAUCAAGGUGCUCCUGCAAACACAGGGCAUUGGCCCUGGCGGCGAAAAAAAAUACACUGGAAUGAUCGAUUGCGCUGUCAAGCUAUAUAAGGAGGGUGGUCUGCGUAGUGUUUUCAAAGGCAGCUGUGCAACGAUGCUCAGGGAUAUGCCUGCCAACGGUCUCUACUUUCUGAGCUAUGAGAUCUUAACGGAUCAGUACAAACGUCGAUUUGACCGGCCCAAUGUGGAUUUAAUGCCGGCUAUACUUGCAGGAGGACUGGCGGGAAUAUUUUAUUGGAUCGGCGGUAUGCCCGCUGAUGUGCUCAAAAACCGGCUGCAAUCCGUCUAUUUUUUUGCAGUGAUAGCGGCUGAACGAGGCGGUACUCGUAAAAGUUAGAUUGCGUAUACCCUUACUGCAAGGCGCAGGACAUUGUAAGCAAGGCUCUGCAAGGUUGAACACCAAAUGCAAGAAUGUCACAACUUCCCUCCGAUGAUGGAGCUGCAGCUGCCACAAUCUUAUCACUAAGGAAUUCGUUGCUACUUAGGCUAUCUUACGAUCGUGAUUAUCAAAAUUAAACAGCUUUCGCUUCAUAUUCGCAUGCUUGGAUAUAGUAUAG
RNAcentral lists this unclassified non-coding RNA (1436 nucleotides) under Drosophila virilis. RNAcentral's name for it is "GJ14937". Lineage: Eukaryota; Metazoa; Arthropoda; Insecta; Diptera; Drosophilidae. The record is from RNAcentral.